GAGAGGGUCAGCUCCCGUCGACGGAUAUUAGGAGAUUGUCGAUGGGCUCCUGUACGCAGACCCCAAGGUCCCCGACCCCGCUUUGCUUGGGUCUCCAUUGGAGGGCAAGGUACCUGCUCUGAGCCACUCAGCUGGAUACCAGGAACAGAGAGAGUCUCCCUGCCUCAGAGGGUGCCUUCAGAAUGAGGGCAUGUACAGGAGUUCCACGACCCCACGAGGGGAAAGAAUCUCCAAGAUCUUUCCCAAAGGAGGGCACGGCACAUGUGAGCCGUGGGGCAGCGCAAUGGUGUUUGGAGAACGGCAAGAAGCUUGAGGAGAUCAGGGGAAAAGAAGGGCAAGGUCCGGGGCAGGAAAAGAAUCUGCAGAGGUGGGCAGGGGCCAAAUCACAGAAGAUACUGGGCGCUAAUCUAAGGAGUUGGAAAUCUACUCUGAAAGGUUUGUUUAUUUAAGUCAUCUCUACACCCAGCGUGGGGCUCAAACUCACGACUCCGAGAUCAAGAGGUGCACACUCUUCAGACUGAGCCAGCCGGGUGCCCCCAAUAGUAAGUCAUGAUGCUGACAGAACGCUGGACUUCCCUUGUAGUCCUCCUGUAUUUUCCCUUGAAGUUUUAAAAAAUUAUCUUUAGACAUCCUUGGGACUUGACCCUACGAUUUUUUCAAAUUAGUCUGUCCAAUUUCCUUCAAGAGUAGUUUGCUCCCUUAGCCUCCGUUCCCAUUACCAGGCAGUGGUAAUGAUCACAGGUCCAUCGCAGCAAAGCAGAGACUAAAUGUAAAGCCGUCAAUGCACUGCCUGGUGCCAAGGCCUGGAACACAGG
This is a long non-coding RNA of Ailuropoda melanoleuca (giant panda), 815 nucleotides long. RefSeq lists it as uncharacterized. The transcript has 3 exons. Lineage: Eukaryota; Metazoa; Chordata; Mammalia; Carnivora; Ursidae. The record is from RefSeq and is a predicted model, not a curated record.